UAAGAUAAACUUUAUAUCGCGGGCUACUC
This 29-nucleotide small RNA is filed under the name Bombyx mori (domestic silkworm). Its description in RNAcentral is "piRNA piR-bmo-2143537". Lineage: Eukaryota; Metazoa; Arthropoda; Insecta; Lepidoptera; Bombycidae. The record is from RNAcentral.